RNAcentral lists this ribosomal RNA (408 nucleotides) under Hebeloma sp. SIV. Its description in RNAcentral is "eukaryotic LSU rRNA". It matches the Rfam family "Eukaryotic large subunit ribosomal RNA", at positions 1 to 402 of the family's 3401-position model. Lineage: Eukaryota; Fungi; Basidiomycota; Agaricomycetes; Agaricales; Hymenogastraceae. The record is from RNAcentral.
UUUGACCUCAAAUCAGGUAGGACUACCCGCUGAACUUAAGCAUAUCAAUAAGCGGAGGAAAAGAAACUAACAAGGAUUCCCCUAGUAACUGCGAGUGAAGCGGGAAAAGCUCAAAUUUAAAAUCUGGCGGUCUCCGGCCGUCCGAGUUGUAAUCUAGAGAAGUGUUAUCCGCGCUGGACCGUGUACAAGUCUCCUGGAAUGGAGCGUCAUAGAGGGUGAGAAUCCCGUCUUUGACACGGACUGCCAGGGCUUUGUGAUGCGCUCUCAAAGAGUCGAGUUGUUUGGGAAUGCAGCUCAAAAUGGGUGGUAAAUUCCAUCUAAAGCUAAAUAUUGGCGAGAGACCGAUAGCGAACAAGUACCGUGAGGGAAAGAUGAAAAGAACUUGGAAAGAGAGUAAACAGUACGUGA